CACUUUCUUCCCAACACUUGGGGGUAGUGAGGGUGUUGGGCAGGUGCCCACUGAGCCCCCCACUCACCUUGGCAAGAGGGGGCAACAGUACCAGGAGGCCAGCCUGACUCAGCAAGGGGUAUCGAAAGCCUGCCAGCUUCCCUGGUCCCAGUGCCUACAUGGCUUCAGCUCCAGAGGGUCUGGGCUCCAGGUUGCCCUGAAGAUCAAGGCCCCGUGCCUCUCAUUCUGCCCACUCCUGAGAUUCUUCCUGAAAUGACCGCUGCGGGGCCAGUCACAGCAUGAGGGCCAGAGGCCCACAAGCCCACAAGCUGGGGAUCCCAGGGCCAGGGUUUCCCUCAAGUUUGCUGAAAUCAGAAGACCUGGCCUGCAGGAGACCCCAGUCCCCCCCUGUGAAUCAGGAAAAGUUUUGCAUUUGCCAUUCGGGGACAAGCUCUGCUGGGAGAUGCUUCUAGAGACGCUGGCCUGUGCCAAUCUGUGAAGGCUCCGAGUGUUCUGUUUGGUGGAAAAGUUGCAACUGAAAAAGCAGAGAGUUGUUGUUUUUUCUUUAAAAAUGUUUUUUGUUUGCAAUCUGUGUCUCUUUUAAGUGCCACAUGCUGGAGAUGUCCUAAAAUUCAGAAAUUAAACAAGUGGGGAAAUCCCA
Molecule: long non-coding RNA, 640 nt
Organism: Carlito syrichta (Philippine tarsier)
Lineage: Eukaryota; Metazoa; Chordata; Mammalia; Primates; Tarsiidae
Exons: 2
Source: RefSeq, a predicted model, not a curated record